GCGGUGGAUGAUGUGGUUUGAUUCGAUGCAACGCGAAAACCUUACCACCUUUGACAUGUACGGAACCCUUUAGAGAUAGAGGGGUGCUCGAAAGAGAACCUGCACACAGGUGCUGCAUGGCUGUCGUCAGCUCGUGUCGUGAGAUGUUGGGUUAAGUCCCGCAACGAGCGCAACCCUUGCCAUUAGUUGCUACGAAAGGGCACUCUAAUGGGACUGCCGGUGACAAACCGGAGGAAGGUGGGGAUGACGUCAAGUCCUCAUGGCCCUUAUAGGUGGGGCUACACACGUCAUACAAUGGCCGGUACAGAGGGUAGCCAACCCGCGAGGGGGAGCCAAUCCCACAAAGCCGGUCGUAGUCCGGAUCGCAGUCUGCAACUCGACUGCGUGAAGUCGGAAUCGCAAGUAAUCGCGGAUCAGCAUGUCGCGGUGAAUACGUUCCCGGGCCUU
This 447-nucleotide ribosomal RNA is filed under the name uncultured Allobrachymonas sp. Its description in RNAcentral is "bacterial SSU rRNA". It matches the Rfam family "Bacterial small subunit ribosomal RNA", at positions 929 to 1382 of the family's 1533-position model. Lineage: Bacteria; Pseudomonadati; Pseudomonadota; Betaproteobacteria; Burkholderiales; Comamonadaceae. The record is from RNAcentral.